GCCCAGCCGUUGGGUGCGUAGCGCACUCUGUGGUUAAGUUAACGCGAUACGUCGACCGCCUGGGGAGUACGGCCGCAAGGUUAAAACUCAAAUGAUUUGACGGGGGCCCGCUCAAGCGGUGGAGCAUGUGGCUUAAUUCGUUGCAACGCGAAGAACCUUACCUACCCUUGACAUGUACUGAAGCCGGAAGAGAUUCUGGUGUGCCUUCGGGAACUGUAAGACAGCUGAUUCAUGGCUGUCGUCAGCUCGUGUUGUGAAAUGCUGGGUUACGUCCCGUAACGAGCGCAACCCUUGUCCUUAUUUGCCAGCGAGUAAUGUCGGGAACUGUAAGGAGAUCGCCGGUGACAAACUGGAGGAAGGUGGGGACGACGUCAAGUCAUCAUGGCCCCUACGGGUAGGGCUACACACGUGCUACAAUGGCCGGUAUCAAAGGGCUGCGAGCUCGCGAGAGUCAGCGAAUCCUUUAAAGCCGGUCUCAGUCCGGAUCGGAGUCUGCAACUCGACUCCGGAAGUCGGAAUCGCUAGUAAU
This 529-nucleotide ribosomal RNA is filed under the name Halomonas sp. LAMA 645. Its description in RNAcentral is "bacterial SSU rRNA". It matches the Rfam family "Bacterial small subunit ribosomal RNA", at positions 814 to 1342 of the family's 1533-position model. Lineage: Bacteria; Pseudomonadati; Pseudomonadota; Gammaproteobacteria; Oceanospirillales; Halomonadaceae. The record is from RNAcentral.